GACCGCGUUGCCGGGAGUGUUGCGGGCGUGCCUGUUGCGUCCGCGGAUUCGCGCGAUUCGGUGCUAGCUUCGGUGUGCGACUCCAUGUGCGACCCCC
This 97-nucleotide transfer RNA is filed under the name Paraburkholderia rhynchosiae. RNAcentral describes it as "tRNA-Asn". Lineage: Bacteria; Pseudomonadati; Pseudomonadota; Betaproteobacteria; Burkholderiales; Burkholderiaceae. The record is from RNAcentral.